AUUGAACGCUGGCGGCAUGCCUAAUACAUGCAAGUCGAGCGGAUAGAGGGAGCUUGUGCCUGGAUGCAGCGGCGGACGGGUGGGUAAUGAACAGGUAGCUGCCCGGCAGUUGGGGAUAAGGUCCGGUCACGGGCGCUAAUAUCACAUCGGUUCAGAGGGAGAACGGGGGGGUUCUUCGGAGAUAGCGGUUCCUGCUGACCCUAGGUCGGAUUAGCUAGUUGGUGGGGUAAAGGCCUACCAAGGCGACGAUCCGUAACUGAUCUGAGAGGAUGAUCAGUCACACUGGAACUGAGACACGGUCCAGACUCCUACGGGAGGCAGCAGUAGGGAAUAUUGCACAAUGGGCGAAAGCCUGAUCCAGCCAUGCCGCGUGUGUGAAGAAGGUCUUCGGAUUGUAAAGCACUUUAAGUUGGGAGGAAGAGCAGUGAGUUAAUACCUGGCUGUCUUGACGUUACCAACAGAGUAAGCCCCGGCUAACUUCGUG
RNAcentral lists this ribosomal RNA (484 nucleotides) under uncultured bacterium. RNAcentral's name for it is "partial 16S ribosomal RNA". It matches the Rfam family "Bacterial small subunit ribosomal RNA", at positions 30 to 507 of the family's 1533-position model. The record is from RNAcentral.